Molecule: ribosomal RNA, 529 nt
Filed under: uncultured Methylobacter sp.
Lineage: Bacteria; Pseudomonadati; Pseudomonadota; Gammaproteobacteria; Methylococcales; Methylococcaceae
Description: bacterial SSU rRNA
Rfam family: Bacterial small subunit ribosomal RNA
Source: RNAcentral
AGGGGAUCUUCGGACCUUUCGCUAUGAGAUGAGCCUGCGUUGGAUUAGCUAGUUGGUGGGGUAAGGGCCCACCAAGGCGACAAUCCAUAGCUGGUCUGAGAGGACGAUCAGCCACACUGGGACUGAGACACGGCCCAGACUCCUACGGGAGGCAGCAGUGGGGAAUAUUGGACAAUGGGCGCAAGCCUGAUCCAGCAAUACCGCGUGUGUGAAGAAGGCCCUAGGGUUGUAAAGCACUUUCAAUUGGGAGGAAAACCCACCGGCCAAUACCCGGUGGCUUGACAUUACCUUUAGAAGAAGCACCGGCUAACUCCGUGCCAGCAGCCGCGGUAAUACGGAGGGUGCGAGCGUUAAUCGGAAUUACUGGGCGUAAAGCGUGCGUAGGCGGCCCGUUAAGUCAGAUGUGAAAGCCCCGGGCUCAACCUGGGAACUGCAUUUGAAACUGGCGGGCUAGAGUUUGGUAGAGGGGAGCGGAAUUUCAGGUGUAGCGGUGAAAUGCGUAGAUAUCUGAAGGAACACCAGUGGCGAA